CGGCCGCGGUAUUUUGACCGUGCGAAGGUAGCGCAAUCACUUGUCUUUUAAAUGAAGACCUGUAUGAAUGGCAUUACGAGGGCUAAGCUGUCUCCUCUUUUAAGUCAAUGAAAUUGAUCUCCCCGUGCAGAAGCGGGGAUAAUCCCAUAAGACGAGAAGACCCUAUGGAGCUUUAGACACCAAGGCAGCUCAUGUCAAAAACCCUGAGAUAAAAGACCAAACCAAACGAACUCUGCCCUAAUGUCUUUGGUUGGGGCGACCGCGGGGAGAUAAAUAACCCCCAUGUGGAAUGGGAACAACCCAUCCUAGAACUAAGACCUGCAGGUCUAAGCAACAGAACUUCUGACCUACCAGAUCCGGCAAUGCCGAUCAACGAACCGAGUUACCCUAGGGAUAACAGCGCAAUCCCCUUUUAGAGCCCAUAUCGACAAGGGGGUUUACGACCUCGAUGUUGGAUCAGGACAUCCUAAUGGUGCAACCGCUAU
Molecule: ribosomal RNA, 485 nt
Filed under: Pterygotrigla polyommata (latchet)
Lineage: Eukaryota; Metazoa; Chordata; Actinopteri; Perciformes; Triglidae
Description: partial small subunit ribosomal RNA
Rfam family: Bacterial large subunit ribosomal RNA
Source: RNAcentral